GACGAACGCUGGCGGCGUGCCUAAUACAUGCAAGUAGAACGCUGAAGGAAGGAGCUUGCUCUUUCUGGAUGAGUUGCGAACGGGUGAGUAACGCGUAGGUAACCUGCCUGGUAGCGGGGGAUAACUAUUGGAAACGAUAGCUAAUACCGCAUAAAAUUGAUUAUUGCAUGAUAGUCAAUUAAAAGGUGCAACUGCACCACUACCAGAUGGACCUGCGUUGUAUUAGCUAGUUGGUGGGGUAACGGCUCACCAAGGCGACGAUACAUAGCCGACCUGAGAGGGUGAUCGGCCACACUGGGACUGAGACACGGCCCAGACUCCUACGGGAGGCAGCAGUAGGGAAUCUUCGGCAAUGGACGGAAGUCUGACCGAGCAACGCCGCGUGAGUGAAGAAGGUUGUCGGAUCGUAAAGCUCUGUUGUAGGAGAAGAACGAGUGUGAGAGUGGAAAGUUCACACUGUGACGGUAUCUUACCAGAAAGGGACGGCUAACUACGUG
Molecule: ribosomal RNA, 497 nt
Filed under: uncultured bacterium
Lineage: Bacteria
Description: partial 16S ribosomal RNA
Rfam family: Bacterial small subunit ribosomal RNA
Source: RNAcentral